This 98-nucleotide ribosomal RNA is filed under the name Saimiri boliviensis boliviensis (Bolivian squirrel monkey). The record is from RNAcentral. Lineage: Eukaryota; Metazoa; Chordata; Mammalia; Primates; Cebidae.
GCCUACCGCCAAACCACCCCGAAUGUGCCUGAUCUUCUCUGAUCUCAGAAGCUAAGCAGGGUCAGACCUGGUUAGUUCUUGGAUGGGAGAUGGGGGCC